UGGGGAAUAUUGCGCAAUGGGCGAAAGCCUGACGCAGCGACGCCGCGUGAGGGAUGAAGGUUUUCGGAUCGUAAACCUCUGUCAGAAGGGAAGAAACCGCCCUGUGCUAAUCAGCAGUGCCUUGCCGGUACCUUCAAAGGAAGCACCGGCUAACUCCGUGCCAGCAGCCGCGGUAAUACGGAGGGUGCAAGCGUUAAUCGGAAUUACUGGGCGUAAAGCGCACGUAGGCUGCUUUGUAAGUCAGGGGUGAAAUCCCACGGCUCAACCGUGGAACUGCCUUUGAUACUGCUUAGCUUGAAUCCGGGAGAGGGUGGCGGAAUUCCAGGUGUAGGAGUGAAAUCCGUAGAUAUCUGGAGGAACAUCAGUGGCGAAGGCGGCCACCUGGACCGGUAUUGACGCUGAGGUGCGAAAGCGUGGGGAGCAAACAGG
This 429-nucleotide ribosomal RNA is filed under the name Fusobacteriota bacterium. RNAcentral's name for it is "Fusobacteria bacterium partial 16S ribosomal RNA". It matches the Rfam family "Bacterial small subunit ribosomal RNA", at positions 355 to 776 of the family's 1533-position model. Lineage: Bacteria; Fusobacteriati; Fusobacteriota. The record is from RNAcentral.